GGGGGCGACCUGGUUUCGACAGGGGUUGCAAAGCAGCGCAGGGCAUACCGAGGGCUGGUCACCUCGUAAAUACAACCAGAAAAAAUGUAACUGCAAACGAUAACUCGUACGCACUAGCAGCUUAAUUGCUGUCUAGCUCUACACCAUCUCUUCCCUGGGGUGGGCUGGCAACAGCAGUAGAGUCAUUUACAGGGAAUCGUCUUGGACCGGGCCACUUGGUUCUUGACUAAAUAAUAGGUGACUCGUCUUGCCAGAGCGUGUGCGUCCGCGCUGGCUGGAUUAAAUCAAAUGGCAGCACUAAGUAUGUAGAACUGUCUGUAGAGUACUUCUGGACGCGGGUUCGAUUCCCGCCGCCUCCACCA
RNAcentral lists this transfer-messenger RNA (362 nucleotides) under Burkholderiaceae. RNAcentral describes it as "CAILRJ01 sp014377155 Standard tmRNA". It matches the Rfam family "transfer-messenger RNA". Rfam says of the family: Bacterial tmRNA, also known as 10Sa RNA or SsrA, is named for its dual tRNA and mRNA-like properties. Its role is to liberate the mRNA from a stalled ribosome. RNAcentral also lists the same sequence under 1 other name. The record is from RNAcentral. Lineage: Bacteria; Pseudomonadati; Pseudomonadota; Betaproteobacteria; Burkholderiales.